UGGGGAAUAUUGGACAAUGGGCGAAAGCCUGAUCCAGCCAUGCCGCGUGUGUGAAGAAGGUCUUCGGAUUGUAAAGCACUUUAAGUUGGGAGGAAGGGUUGUAGAUUAAUACUCUGCAAUUUUGACGUUACCGACAGAAUAAGCACCGGCUAACUCUGUGCCAGCAGCCGCGGUAAUACAGAGGGUGCUAGCGUUAAUCGGAAUUACUGGGCGUAAAGCGCGCGUAGGUGGUUUGUUAAGUUGGAUGUGAAAUCCCCGGGCUCAACCUGGGAACUGCAUUCAAAACUGACUGACUAGAGUAUGGUAGAGGGUGGUGGAAUUUCCUGUGUAGCGGUGAAAUGCGUAGAUAUAGGAAGGAACACCAGUGGCGAAGGCGACCACCUGGACUAAUACUGACACUGAGGUGCGAAAGCGUGGGGAGCAAACA
This 427-nucleotide ribosomal RNA is filed under the name uncultured bacterium. Its description in RNAcentral is "partial 16S ribosomal RNA". It matches the Rfam family "Bacterial small subunit ribosomal RNA", at positions 355 to 774 of the family's 1533-position model. The record is from RNAcentral.